CAGUCGUACCGACGAGAAAUCAGCUUUUCGAAUGUGCAUUUGUGGGCGUAUGAGAUCUUCAUUGUUUGCAAUAUGUAUGUUUCUUUGGUGUACUUUUUCGUAUGGUAGGUCAACGUCGGUUUUGGUCGCCAUAAAAUGAUCGGAGGAAUGUAGCUUCGACCUCGGUUGAAGUGUUAUAGCCUUUGGUAAAUGUGGUGAUUAAGACCGAGGAUUGCAACGAAUACCUUUAGGCUAUCCGUCUGACCUCUGAAAGUUACUUGGGUGUCGAAAGCUUGCCUACGGCCAUUUAAGUUAACGGUCAAAAGGUUAGAACGUGAUUACAUUCGUUAAGGACGUUGACGUAAUAGCUUUAAACGACCCGUCUUGAAACACGGACCAAGGAGUCUAACAUAUGUGCGAGUGUUU
Molecule: ribosomal RNA, 405 nt
Filed under: Glomus sp. (unid)
Lineage: Eukaryota; Fungi; Glomeromycota; Glomeromycetes; Glomerales; Glomeraceae
Source: RNAcentral